This 77-nucleotide transfer RNA is filed under the name Lysobacteraceae bacterium. RNAcentral's name for it is "Xanthomonadaceae bacterium tRNA-OTHER". It matches the Rfam family "tRNA". From Rfam's summary of the family: Transfer RNA (tRNA) molecules are approximately 80 nucleotides in length. Their secondary structure includes four short double-helical elements and three loops (D, anti-codon, and T loops). The record is from RNAcentral. Lineage: Bacteria; Pseudomonadati; Pseudomonadota; Gammaproteobacteria; Lysobacterales; Lysobacteraceae.
GCCCGGAUGGCGCAAUGGGUAGACGCACCGGAUCGAGAGUCCGGCUGUUGUGAGUUCGAAUCUCACUCCGGGCACCA